GAGAAGAACGUAGCAAAAUGCGAUACUUGGUGUGAAUUGCAGAAUCCCGUGAACCAUCGAGUUUUUGAACGCAAGUUGCGCCCGAAGCCUUUUGGCCGAGGGCACGUCUGCCUGGGCGUCACGCAUCGCGUCGCCCCCCACAAUUCUCCGUAAAGGGAACAUGUGUUUUGGGGGCGGAUAUUGGUCUCCCGUGCUCAUGGCGUGGUUGGCCGAAAUAGGAGUCCUUUCGAUGGACGCACGAACUAGUGGUGGUCGUAAAAACCCUCGUCUUUUGUUUCGUGCUGUUGGUCGCAAGGUAAACUCUUUAAAAACCCCAAUGUGUCGUCUCUUGACGACGCUUCGACCGCGACCCCAGGUCAGGCGGGACUACCCGCUGAGUUUAAGCAUAUCAAUAAGCGGAGGA
This 403-nucleotide unclassified non-coding RNA is filed under the name soil metagenome. Its description in RNAcentral is "partial contains 5.8S ribosomal RNA, internal transcribed spacer 2, and large subunit ribosomal RNA". The stretch from base 3 to 121 matches the Rfam family "5.8S ribosomal RNA", at positions 38 to 154 of the family's 154-position model. The record is from RNAcentral.